AAACUUGGCAAUGCGAGNAAUCGUGACCAGGGAACUCCAAGUGCAUCGGGUAAGACCGAUGCUUUUCUUGACUCUUCAAAGGUCUUGGAAUAAGGGGUGGGUAAGGACGGUGCCAGCCGCCGCGGUAAUACCGGCGCCNCAAGUGGUAGUCGCUUUUAUUGGGCCUAAAACGUCCGUAGCCGGUUUGGUACAUUCGUGGGUAAAUCAACCAGCUCAACUGGUUGAAUUCUGCGAGCACGGCCAGACUUGGGACCGGGAGAGGUGUGGGGUACUCUCAGGGUAGGGGUAAAAUCCUGUCAUCCUGAGAGGACCACCUGUUGCGAAGGCGCCACACUAGAACGGAUCCGACGGUCAGGGACGAAGCCUAGGGGCACGAACCGGAUUAGAUACCCGGGUAGUCCUAGGUGUAAACGCUGUGGACUUGAUGUUGGGGGCGCUCCGAGCGCCCUCAGUGUCGAANCGAAGGUGAUAAGUCCACUGCCUGGGGAGUACGGUCGCAAGGCUGAAACUUAA
RNAcentral lists this ribosomal RNA (513 nucleotides) under uncultured archaeon. RNAcentral describes it as "bacterial SSU rRNA". It matches the Rfam family "Archaeal small subunit ribosomal RNA", at positions 345 to 859 of the family's 1478-position model. The record is from RNAcentral.